ACCCGCGUACAUGCCACCGGGGCAUCCCGGAGGCAGGAAAGGCUUCGGCCGGACAGGGAUGGGCAUGCGGCGCAUUAGGCAGUAGGCGGGGUAACGGCCCACCUAACCGACGAUGCGUAGGGGUUCUGAGAGGAAGGUCCCCCACACUGGUACUGAGACACGGACCAGACUCCUACGGGAGGCAGCAGUGAGGAAUAUUGGUCAAUGGUCGGGAGACUGAACCAGCCAAGCCGCGUGAGGGAUGAAGGUACAGAGUAUCGUAAACCUCUUUUGUCAGGGAACAAAGGCGGGGACGUGUCCCCGGAUGAGUGUACCUGAAGAAAAAGCAUCGGCUAACUCCGUGCCAGCAGCCGCGGUAAUACGGAGGAUGCGAGCGUUAUCCGGAUUUAUUGGGUUUAAAGGGUGCGCAGGCGGUCUGUUAAGUCAGCGGUCAAAGCCCGGGGCUCAACCCCGGCCCGCCGUUGAAACUGGCAGUCUCGAGUUGGAGAGAAGUAUGCGGAAUGCGCGGUGUAGCGGUGAAAUGCAUAGAUAUCGCGCAGAACUCCGAUUGCGAAGGCAGCAUGCCGGCUCCACACUGACGCUGAGGCACGAAAGCGUGGGUAUCGAACAAGAUUAGAUACCCUGGUAGUCCACGCAGUAAACGAU
Molecule: ribosomal RNA, 645 nt
Filed under: uncultured bacterium
Lineage: Bacteria
Description: bacterial SSU rRNA
Rfam family: Bacterial small subunit ribosomal RNA
Source: RNAcentral